AAUUUUAGUAUAUUUCAAAUUUGUAACCAAAUGAAGUGACAAGAUCUUGAAUGAACAUUUGAUUGAACAUUUGUUAUCUGUCUAGAGAAACAGUUUGAAGCGAAUGAAUUAAGUAUUGCCUAUUGUCUAUAAGUUAAUUGUGUGACCUGAACCCUGUGAGGGAUAUUACUUAUUUUUAUACGCCGGUUUUGAAAAAACGGGAGGUAUUAUAGUUUCACCCUUGGCGGGCGGCGGCGUCCAUAACAGUGUCCACUCUCUAAUUCAAAUAGUUUUCAUCCGAUCUUCACCAAACUUGGUCAGAAGUUCUACUAGACAAUAUCUAGGUCAAGUUUGAAUAUGGGUCAUGCCAGGUCAAAAACUAGGUCACGGGGUCACUUAGUGCAUUUGAAGGAUUUAGCAUUGGUGGCUUUCUAAUUGGAGUAGUUUUCAUCUGAUCUUUGCCAAAUUUGGUCAUAAGUUGUGUGUAAAUGAUAUAUAGGUCAAGUUCAAAUAUGGGUUAUGCCGGGUCAAAAACUAGGUCGCGAGGUCACUUAGAGCAUUUCAUGCAUUUCGCAUGGUGUCUGCUCUCUAAUUGAAGUAGUUUUCAUCCAAUCUUCACAAACUUUGGUCAGAAGUUUUAUCUAGACAAUAUCUAAGUCAAGUUCAAUUAUGGGUCAUGCCGGGUCAAAAACAAGGUCAGGGGUUCACUUAGUACAUUUCAAGGAUUAAGCAUGGUGUCCGCUCUCAAAUUGAAGUAGUUAUCAUCCGAUCUUCACAAAAUUUGGUCAGAAAUUGUGUCAAAAUGUUAUCUAGGUCAAGUUCAAAUAUGGGUCACGCCAGGUCAAAAACUAGGUCACGAGGUUACUUAGUGCAUUUCAAGCAUUUAGCACGGUGUCCACUCUCUUAUUGAAGUAGUUUUCAUCUGAUCUUCAACAAAUGUGGUCAGAAGUUGUAUCUAGACAAUAUCUAGUUCAAGUUCAAAUAUGGGUCAUGCUGGGUCAAAAACUAGUUCACAGGGUGCAUUUCAAGGAUUUAGCAUGGUGUAAGCUCUUUAAUUGAAAGAGUUUUCAUCCGAUCUUCACCAAAUUUGGGCAGAAGUUGUGUCUUAAUGAUAUCUAAGUCAAGUUCAGAUAUAGGUCAUGCCGGGUCGAAAACUAGGUCACUUAGUGCAUUUCCAGCGUUUAGCAUGGUGUCCAAAACCUUCAAACGGGUGUAUCUUGUGACAGUUUAGCACUCUUGUUUAUUACAUUAAAGCCACACACCUUGAAAUGAAAUACAUGUUACUCAGUACAUAUAGAUGCAAUUUGAAAGUGUGCAAAAUUGUCAUUAAAUCUAUAGCCUAGUUAGCAAGUAAUUUAUUUUUUUUUAUUUUAAAACUGAAUGUAUGAUUUGUAUACGUACAUGUUCAAUUCGAGAAACACAAUUAUUUUUAAGUUUUAAAGCACAAGAAAGACGGAUUUCUACCUUGCAACCACCAGAUAUAUUCUAAUUGGCAAAGAUAAAAUAUGUUUCUUAUUUAUAUCCAAAUUUACUAUGCCAGAUAUUUCAUUUCAAGGUGUGUGGCUUUAAGGAAUGUUUUUUAAAUGGGUAUAUUACCAAGAUCUGCACAGCCAGGGUGAUAUUAACCUUCAGAUGUUAAAGCUUUCUAAGAAUUUUAAGGCUUGCCUUUUAUACUUGAAAUGAUAAAUCAUUAACAUGUUUUGUUCUUUAGGAACAUACAAACAUUUCCCACCCACCAUGUGGAUCAAGAUGUUUGGGCUGAUGAUUCUGGGUCGUAUGUGUGGACAAGGUGGUCUUCAUUACAUCAUGAUGCAGCUGUGUAUUCAACAACAUGUUAACCUGUCCCAGCGGAUGUUGAUGCUCUUAAAUCUCUUAAAUGAUGUUGAGAAAAAUCCAGGACCGGAGUAUUCGUGCAAAUGGAUAUCCUGCAAGGAAGACUUCCACUCCAUAGGACAGCAAGAUGCACAUAUCAUCUCUCAUGUGGUUCAAGAGAAAUGCUGUAGAUGGGGAGACUGUUCCAAAGUCCUGAGCUUUAAUAGUCUUGAAAACCAUGAACUUAAACAUCUCUAGGAUGUGAGUUUAGCACUGUGUAUGAACUGGUGUUGCUUCAUUUUCUGCAUAUCUUUAUCUCAGUCUUCUCUAGUUUUGAUGGUCAAAUACAUAUUGUCUGCCAGUUUUUUCCCCCAAUACUGCCGUUCAUCGUUUGCUUGCAUCAAGAGUUUUAAAAGAAAUUAAAACUCAUUUGUUUAGUUAGAAUCUUAUGAAAGACUUAAAUGGCCAUGUUUAAUACAAUUGUAUAACAACAUAUAUGAGCUAAAAAAAAUAGUUGGAAUAAUUAAUGUUUAUAUGAACAUAACAAAUUUGCUUAAAAUCAUAGGUCUUGUUUUUGUCUGCCACUAUAAGAACCAGAACAUAUUUCGGACAUUCGAGGAUUGACUUGCUGUGUUAGAGGAUCAUCAGGUGAUGGAAGAAACCAGGCUUUUUUCGACUCAAUGUUGAUGAAACCUGAUCGACAUGCUCAUCUUGGUUGAGUAAGCCUGGGUUGAGUGUUUCCAAAAAGUAGGUAACCUGGUGAAAUCUUAGGAAAACAUUGUAACCAGAUCCAGGUUUAUUUGACUGACAGACCGAUGGACAGUGGGUCAACCGUAAAUCCCUUCAUGUGAAAACGGUAGGGACAAAAUAAAUAUCACAUUGCUCUUCUGAGUUCAUUUGAAAACCAAGUUUUAUCACAAAAUUAAAAUGGUCAAUGUAUUAUUUUGUGUAUUUAAAAAUUAUGUGAAUAUUAAGUUUCAUGAAAUCUUACUGAGUUUUCUCAAUUUUAGCUACUAUUCGGACAUGGACUGACGGAGAAAUGGGCAACAAUGUCGCAAUUUGUAUACCAAGUUUUAUAAGAAUUGUUUCAUAAAAGUAACCAAUGUGUCUGUUCUAUGUCAAGGUAACUACUAGGAUGAAAUACACAAAAAGAUUUUGGUUCACAAUAGGGUAGGCUCCGCGUGCCGUGAACCGGGCAACAGCUUUUGUCAUUUAACAUUUGUUAUAAUGGCAUAAGCUGGCAGAUACCCUUUAACUUUAACGAUGUUUUCCGAUAAUUUCUCGGAAAAUACAACCUAGCAAUUUUUAUUUAAUUUAGAUUACUAAAAAUUAAUAUUAUAUUUAUGCCCCCCUUGGAAGAAGAGGGGUAUAUUGUUUUGCACAUGUCAGUUGGUUGGUCCACCAGAUGGUUUCCUGAUGAUAACUCAAGAACGCUUUGGCCUAGGAUCAUGAAACUUCAUAGGUUUAUUGAUCUCGAAAUAGUAAAAUGGUUUCCGGAUGAUAACUCAAGAACGCUUAUGCCUAGGAUCAUGAAACUUCAUAGGUACAUUGAUGAUGACUCGGAGAUGACAUCUAUUGAUUUUCAGGUCACUAAGUCAAAGGUCAAGGUCACAGUGACUCGAAAUAGAAAAAUGGUUUCCGGAUGAUAACUCAUAAAUGCUUACGCCUAGGAUCAUAAAAUAAAAAAAUCAUUGGUACAUUGAUAAUGACUGGCAGAUGACCCCCUUCAUAGGUACAUUGAUAAUGACUGGCAGAAGACCCUUAUUGAUUUUCAGGUCACUAGGUCAAAGAUUAAGGUCAUAGUGACUCAAAACAGUUUAAUGGUUUCCUGUUGAUAGCUCAAGAAUACUUAGGUCUAUGAUCAUGAAACUUCUCAAGUACAUUGAUCAUGACUGGCAGAUGACCCCUAUUGAUUUUCAGGUCACUAGGUCAAAAGUCAAGUUCACAGUGACAAAAACGUAUUCACAAUGGCUGCCACUACAACUGACAGCCCAUAGGGGGGGCAUGCAUGUUUUACAAACAGCCCUUGUUCUGUGUUAAAAUUAUGUACACGUCUGCGUUAAAUAAAUAUGUUCACAUUUGAAAUAAAGCUAAAAAUGUG
Dreissena polymorpha is the source of this 3892-nucleotide long non-coding RNA. RefSeq lists it as uncharacterized. Lineage: Eukaryota; Metazoa; Mollusca; Bivalvia; Myida; Dreissenidae. The record is from RefSeq and is a predicted model, not a curated record. The transcript is spliced from 2 exons.